Long non-coding RNA from Cydia amplana, 577 nucleotides. RefSeq lists it as uncharacterized. The transcript is spliced from 3 exons. NCBI's taxonomy places the organism in Eukaryota, Metazoa, Arthropoda, Insecta, Lepidoptera, Tortricidae. The record is from RefSeq and is a predicted model, not a curated record.
AGUCUCUCGCGCAAACUAUUCAGUUUAGAAAAAAAUGAUAUUAGAAACCUCAAUAAAUAUCAUUUUUGAAGACCUAUCCAUAGAUACCCCACACGUAUGGGUUUGAUGAAAAAUUUUUUUUGAGCGAUUUAUGACGUAUUAAAAAAAACCUACUUGCUAGAUCUCGUUCAAACCAAUUUUCGGUGGAAGUUUACAUGGUAAUGUACAUCAUAUAUUUUUUUUAGUUUUAUCAUUCUCUUAUUUUAGAAGUUAGGGGGGGGGGGGACACACAUUUUACCACUUUGGAAGUGUCUCUCGCGCAAACUAUUCAUUUUAGAAAAAAAUGAUAUUAGAAACCUCAAUAUCAUUUUUGAAGACCUAUCCAUAGAUACCCACACACGUAUGGGUUUGACGAAAAAAAUUUUUUUGAGUUUCAGUUCUAAGUAUGGGGAACCCCCAAAAUUUAUUGUUUUUUUUUUCUAUUUUUGUGUGAAAAUCUUAAUGCGGUUCACAGAAUACAUCUACUUACCAAGUUUCAACAGUAUAGUUCUUAUAGUUUCGGAAAAAAGUGGCUGUGACAUACGGACGGACAGACAGA